RNAcentral lists this ribosomal RNA (254 nucleotides) under uncultured bacterium. RNAcentral's name for it is "partial 16S ribosomal RNA". It matches the Rfam family "Bacterial small subunit ribosomal RNA", at positions 524 to 776 of the family's 1533-position model. The record is from RNAcentral.
UACGUAGGGGGCGAGCGUUGUCCGGAUUCAUUGGGCGUAAAGAGCUCGUAGGCGGCUUGGCAAGUCGGGUGUGAAAACUCCAGGCUCAACCUGGAGACGCCACUCGAUACUGCCAUGGCUUGAGUCUGGUAGGGGAUCACGGAAUUCCUGGUGUAGCGGUGAAAUGCGCAGAUAUCAGGAGGAACACCGGUGGCGAAGGCGGUGAUCUGGGCCAGUACUGACGCUGAGGAGCGAAAGCGUGGGGAGCAAACAGG